Molecule: ribosomal RNA, 1036 nt
Filed under: Escherichia coli
Lineage: Bacteria; Pseudomonadati; Pseudomonadota; Gammaproteobacteria; Enterobacterales; Enterobacteriaceae
Description: partial 23S ribosomal RNA
Rfam family: Bacterial large subunit ribosomal RNA
Source: RNAcentral
UUCCGAAUGGGGAAACCCAGUGUGUUUCGACACACUAUCAUUAACUGAAUCCAUAGGUUAAUGAGGCGAACCGGGGGAACUGAAACAUCUAAGUACCCCGAGGAAAAGAAAUCAACCGAGAUUCCCCCAGUAGCGGCGAGCGAACGGGGAGGAGCCCAGAGCCUGAAUCAGUGUGUGUGUUAGUGGAAGCGUCUGGAAAGGCGCGCGAUACAGGGUGACAGCCCCGUACACAAAAAUGCACAUAUUGUGAGCUCGAUGAGUAGGGCGGGACACGUGGUAUCCUGUCUGAAUAUGGGGGGACCAUCCUCCAAGGCUAAAUACUCCUGACUGACCGAUAGUGAACCAGUACCGUGAGGGAAAGGCGAAAAGAACCCCGGCGAGGGGAGUGAAAAAGAACCUGAAACCGUGUACGUACAAGCAGUGGGAGCCUCUUAAUGGGGUGACUGCGUACCUUUUGUAUAAUGGGUCAGCGACUUAUAUUCUGUAGCAAGGUUAACCGAAUAGGGGAGCCGAAGGGAAACCGAGUCUUAACUGGGCGUUAAGUUGCAGGGUAUAGACCCGAAACCCGGUGAUCUAGCCAUGGGCAGGUUGAAGGUUGGGUAACACUAACUGGAGGACCGAACCGACUAAUGUUGAAAAAUUAGCGGAUGACUUGUGGCUGGGGGUGAAAGGCCAAUCAAACCGGGAGAUAGCUGGUUCUCCCCGAAAGCUAUUUAGGUAGCGCCUCGUGAAUUCAUCUCCGGGGGUAGAGCACUGUUUCGGCAAGGGGGUCAUCCCGACUUACCAACCCGAUGCAAACUGCGAAUACCGGAGAAUGUUAUCACGGGAGACACACGGCGGGUGCUAACGUCCGUCGUGAAGAGGGAAACAACCCAGACCGCCAGCUAAGGUCCCAAAGUCAUGGUUAAGUGGGAAACGAUGUGGGAAGGCCCAGACAGCCAGGAUGUUGGCUUAGAAGCAGCCAUCAUUUAAAGAAAGCGUAAUAGCUCACUGGUCGAGUCGGCCUGCGCGGAAGAUGUAACGGGGCUAAACCAUG